UGGGUCUGAGGAAGGGGGCACAGGUGGGCGUGGAAUGGUACCCCCCGCCCACCCCCCCCCCCCCCCCCCAAGCCGGCUGCCUCGGGCCUGUGAGUGCCUCUCAAGGGAGAGUUUUUGGCAGAGGGUGGGAGUGUCCAGACACGGAGAGGACCCAGGCAUUCGUUAUGUGAACCUCAGAGUGAGUCAGCCCCAGCAGCCUGACUGUCCUGAUCCUUGGGAACCGAAUCCCCAGCCUGGGACAGCCGUUGAGGGGGACUCCAGUGGCUCAUCGUCUUCAUCAGCAAGCUGUUCGUGCCUGUCGCCAGCAAGCCGUGAAGCUCAGACCUGCUCCGUGACCUGGAAGAAAACACUGGAAGGAUAAAUCGGGUCUAGUCAAAAUUGGUACUCGGGUGUGGAGGGGGACUACACAGUAGGGGCAGAGGCUUGCACCGGAGCCCACAAACCCGCUUACUGAGUUACGAGAGUCGCUCAAAUUCCCCAAGGCAGUCCCCGACCUCACAGAGUUUAUGCUGCUCUGAACUUCUCUUGUAAGUGCUUACUUACCUGCUGUCUGCCUCCCUCACCACAACUGGAGCCCUGGAGGAGGUCCUGCAUCCAGCACGUCCACAGUCACCAUCUGAGGGAUAACUGAAUGAAACGCCUGGUGCACAAUCAACCCUCCACACACAGGUCUUUACAGUCCCAAGAAGUUAUCCCCACCCCAAGCCCUCUCCUCGCUCCCUGGCCUCUCUCACAGCCUCUUGAGAACCUUGCUUGGAGGUCUCCGUCAGCUAAAAAGUCUCUCAAACUGUCAGCCAGAGGCCCCUCAUUGUUUGCUCCCCACGGCUCUCCCUCCUGGGCAUCUCCAGCACCUUACCCGGCCAAAUGCAUCCCCUCGGGCAUGAGCCCUGGUGCCUUUCAUGUGCAGCCGCCCCCAUAACAGCUCUCGGCUCCCCCGGGUGUACCGUGUGCCCCAGGGAGGGAUAGCACCCACCCUCCUGCAGGUAUUAACUGACUUUUUCUGGAGCCAGUGUUUGCUUUAGGGAUUAAAGUUAGUGGAGGAGCCUCAUCUGCUGCCUUCCUGGCAGCCAGCGCUAAGUUUGUUAUUUUAUUUCCCAAGCCCCUGAUAAUACGGUUCCAGACAUGUUGGUUUGAGAACAUCGUCCAACGGAAAAACCAGUGCCUCCUCUGAGCCAGGGGACAAGCUCUAGCUGACUUCACGCCGGCUCUCCCUCCUUCCUUAGGCCAACCUUGAGGCCCGCGAUUGUUUUCUCCUUUUUCUCUGUUUUCUUCUCAAGAGCUGCAUUGCUCUUAAGUACCCCCCAGUUUAUCUGGUACAGUCAAGGAACGGGCUACUGCACAGUAGUCAGUUUUCCAAAAUAAUGCCUUUCAAGCCCUGAAACUUUAAACAAUGAAAUACAUUUUAGAAGCAGAUUAAUUGACAUAUGAUUGGCACACGAUAAACUGCACGUAUUUAAAGUGUACAACUUGAUCCAUUUUGACGUCUGGGUACACCCAUGAAACCAUCAACGCGAUCAAGGUAGUGAACAGAUCUGUCCAUCACUCCCAAACUCCCUCUCGCCCCUCCCUGCCCCUCUUCCCCAAGCAGCUACCGAUCUGCUUUCUAAACACACAUUGAACGCAAAGCUGUCUCCCCCACCCCACUUCCCCACCUUAGCAAACAGUGCGAUCGAGAUUGUUGCUUUCCCUGCUUGGCGUUAUCACUAAAGUUCCUGAAAGCGACGGUGCAGAAAUACCCGGGACUGCUCGUCCUGAGCACGAAACGACCCCAUUGAUGCAUUCCACGCCGGACGGUUCGGGGUUUGGCAGUUUUCUCCCUUGCUGCCUGCUGUCUCCGGGUGUAAUACCCACGGACAAGUCCCGCUGCCUUGCCCCUGGAACACCAGCCAGCUCCCGUGCCAGCUCGUUCCUAGCUCUGGAUAGGUGGCUCUCUGCUGGGGGGUGACUCUGCCCCUCAGGUGACCUUGGGCCAGGUCUGGGGAUGCUUUUUGGGUUGUCAUGAUGGGGUGGUGGUGCUCCUGGCACCUAGUGUUUAGAGACCAGGGAUAUUGCCAAACAUCCUACAAUACACAGGACAGUCCCUGCAAAAAAAGGAACGAUCCGGUGGCCCCAGGUGGAAAUAGUGCUGAGGUUGACAAACCCGAUUCUGGAUGACAAACUAAUUGGAAAAUUCAACAAGUCAUGAAAA
This is a long non-coding RNA of Lynx canadensis (Canada lynx), 2188 nucleotides long. RefSeq lists it as uncharacterized. Lineage: Eukaryota; Metazoa; Chordata; Mammalia; Carnivora; Felidae. The record is from RefSeq and is a predicted model, not a curated record. The transcript is spliced from 4 exons.